CCUACGGGGGGCAGCAGUGGGGAAUAGUGGGCAAUGGAGGCAACUCUGACCCAGCAAUGCCGCGUGAGUGAUGAAGGUAAUGUUAUUGUAAAGCUCUUUUCUUGGGAACGAAGAAAGGACGGGACCAAAGGAAUAAGCCCCGGCUAACUACGUGCCAGCAGCCGCGGUAAUACGGCGGGGGCAAGCGUUGUUCGGAAGGACGGGGCGUAAAGGGUGUGUAGGGGGUUUGCUAAGGUAGAUGUGUAAUACCCAGGGCUUAACUCGGGUGCUGCAUCGAAAACUGUUAGACGUGAGUACUGGGGCGGCUAGUGGACUUCCUCUUGUCGCUGUGUAAUGCUUAGAUCUUAG
This 348-nucleotide ribosomal RNA is filed under the name uncultured bacterium. Its description in RNAcentral is "partial 16S ribosomal RNA". It matches the Rfam family "Bacterial small subunit ribosomal RNA", at positions 338 to 700 of the family's 1533-position model. The record is from RNAcentral.